Molecule: unclassified non-coding RNA, 161 nt
Filed under: uncultured fungus
Lineage: Eukaryota; Fungi
Description: sequence contains ITS1, 5.8S rRNA gene
Source: RNAcentral
CAGAGAACAUCGCCCUCACGGGUGACUCUCCAACCCUAUGUUAUUAAAACCUUUGUUGCUUUGGCGAGACGCUUCGGCCAUCGGCAUCUGCUGGUGUGUGCUCGCCAGAGGACCACAAAACUCUUGUAUAAUUAGGUCGUCUGAGUACUAUAUAAUAGUUA